UAGCUGACAUUCCGAGCAGCCUGAGAGGAGGAGGAGGAGGCCUAGGAUAGGCAUCGGGCAUCAACGUACCAACACUUCUGAAAAUAUCCACGCUGGAAGGACCAUCAGCUUCGCAUCGAGGGAACACGAUGGACAUCUCGAGCAGCCUGAGAGGAGGUGGAGGCCUAGGAGAGGCAACGGGCAUCGGCGUACUUAACACUUCUGAAAAUAUUCACGCAGGAAGGAGUAUCUUCGCAUCGAGGAAACAGUAACUGACAUCCCGAGCAGCCUGAGAGGAGGUGGAGGCCUAGGAGGAGGCAUCAGGCGCCGGCGGAGCAACAAGCGAAUCAUCGUAGCGACGUUGCAGAAUAACUCCGCUGUUGUGCAUCGGUCGGUGAGUGAUGAUUAAAAUUUCAUAAUUAAGGUAACGAAUUUAUGACAAUUAUUACGUCAAAUAUAUUGCAGAGUCAAGUUAUCACAAUAAAUUAUUACAUAUGUUACGUUUCACAGAUUCGUUGUCUUAAAAUGGAAUGACUGGGUCAGAUUAGGAUUUAACAUUUAAUCCUGGAUAAAUCACAUAAAUUGAUUUGUCGUACAUUUUGUCAUUGUAAAUUUCAUCCCAAAUAUCUUUCAGGAUUAAGUGUUAUAUAAAUUGGUGCAAGAAUGCAAUAUAUACGCUUAGAGAUGCUUUUAGCCUGCAUAUAUCACGAUUGAAGAUAAAAAGUACU
This is a long non-coding RNA of Temnothorax curvispinosus, 707 nucleotides long. RefSeq lists it as uncharacterized. NCBI's taxonomy places the organism in Eukaryota, Metazoa, Arthropoda, Insecta, Hymenoptera, Formicidae. The transcript is spliced from 4 exons. The record is from RefSeq and is a predicted model, not a curated record.